GAUGAACGCUGGCGGCGUGCCUAAUACAUGCAAGUCGAGCGAACAGAUAAGGAGCUUGCUCCUUUGACGUUAGCGGCGGACGGGUGAGUAACACGUGGGGAACCUACCUAUAAGACUGGGAUAACUUCGGGAAACCGGAGCUAAUAUCGGAUAACAUUUGGAACCGCAUGGUUCUAAAGUGAAAGAUGGUUUUGCUAUCACUUAUAGAUGGACCCGCGCCGUAUUAGCUAGUUGGUAAGGUAACGGCUUACCAAGGCGACGAUACGUACCCGACCUGAGAGGGUGACGGGCCACACUGGAACUGGGACACGGUCCAGACUCCUACGGGAGGCGGCAGUAGGGAAUCUUCGGCAAUGGGCGAAAGCCUACCGGGGAAACGCCGCGGAAGUAAUGAAGGGUUUCGGCUCGUAAAACUCUGUUAUUAGGGAAGAACAAAUGUGUAAGUAACUGUGCACGUCUUGACGGUACCUAAUCAGAAAGCCACGGCUAACUACGUG
This 497-nucleotide ribosomal RNA is filed under the name uncultured bacterium. RNAcentral's name for it is "partial 16S ribosomal RNA". It matches the Rfam family "Bacterial small subunit ribosomal RNA", at positions 28 to 507 of the family's 1533-position model. The record is from RNAcentral.